ACGCUGGCGGCACGCCUAACACAUGCAAGUCGAACGAAGUAGCAAUACUUAGUGGCAGACGGGUGAGUAAUAUGUAGGUAUCUGCCCUUUGGCCUGGAAUAACACGAGGAAACUUGUGCUAAUACCGGAUAAGUCUUUACGGAGAAAGCUUUAUGCACCAUUGGAUGAGCCUGCACUUGAUUAGUUUGUUGGUAGGGUAAUGGCCUACCAAGACUUUGAUCAAUAGCUGAUUUGAGAGGAUGAUCAGCCACAUUGGGACUGAGACACGGCCCAAACUCCUACGGGAGGCAGCAGUGGGGAAUCUUGCACAAUGGAGGAAACUCUGAUGCAGCGAUGCCGCGUGAGUGAAGAAGGCCUUUGGGUUGUAAAGCUCUUUCGUCGGGGAAGAAAAUGACUGUACCCGAAUAAGAAGGUCCGGCUAACUUCGUGCCAGCAGCCGCGGUAAUACGAAGGGACCUAGCGUAGUUCGGAAUUACUGGGCUUAAAGAGUUCGUAGGUGGUUGAAAAAGUUGGUGGUGAAAUCCCAGAGCUUAACUCUGGAACUGCCAUCAAAACUUUUCAGCUAGAGUUUGAUAGAGGAAAGCAGAAUUUCUAGUGUAGAGGUGAAAUUCGUAGAUAUUAGAAAGAAUACCAAUUGCGAAGGCAGCUUUCUGGAUCAUUACUGACACUGAGGAACGAAAGCAUGGGUAGCGAAGAGGAUUAGAUACCCUCGUAGUCCAUGCCGUAAACGAUGUGUGUUAGACGUUGGAAAUUUAUUUUCAGUGUCGCAGCGAAAGCGAUAAACACACCGCCUGGGGAGUACGACCGCAAGGUUAAAACUCAAAUGAAUUGACGGGGACCCGCACAAGUAGUGGAGCAUGUGGUUUAAUUCGAAGAUACGCGUAGAACCUUACCAACACUUGACAUGUUCGUCGCGACUCUAAGAGAUUAGAGUUUUCGGUUCGGCCGGACGAAACACAGGUGCUGCAUGGCUGUCGUCAGCUCGUGUCGUGAGAUGUUGGGUUAAGUCCCGCAACGAGCGCAACCCUCACUUUUAGUUGCCAUCAUUUAGUUGGGCACUCUGAAAGAACUGCCAGUGAUAAGCUGGAGGAAGGUGGGGAUGACGUCAAGUCCUCAUGGCCCUUACGUGUUGGGCUACACACGUGCUACAAUGGUAUCUACAACAGGAAGCAAGACGGCGACGUCAAGCAAAUCCUUAAAAGAUACCUCAGUUCGGAUUGCACUCUGCAACUCGAGUGCAUGAAGCUGGAAUUACUAGUAAUCGUGGAUCAGCGUGCCACGGUGAAUGCGUUCCCGGGUCUUGUACUCACCGCCCGUCA
Molecule: ribosomal RNA, 1319 nt
Filed under: uncultured Alphaproteobacteria bacterium
Lineage: Bacteria; Pseudomonadati; Pseudomonadota; Alphaproteobacteria
Description: uncultured alpha proteobacterium 16S ribosomal RNA
Rfam family: Bacterial small subunit ribosomal RNA
Source: RNAcentral